Molecule: ribosomal RNA, 440 nt
Filed under: uncultured bacterium
Lineage: Bacteria
Description: bacterial SSU rRNA
Rfam family: Bacterial small subunit ribosomal RNA
Source: RNAcentral
CCUACGGGUGGCAGCAGUCGAGAAUUUUUCUCAAUGGGCGAAAGCCUGAAGGAGCGACGCCGCGUGGGGGAUGAAGGGUUUCGAUCCGUAAACCCCUGUCAUUUGCGAACAAUGGUUAUUAUUUAAAAGAUGAUGACUUGAUAGUAGCGGAAGAGGAAGGGACGGCUAACUCUGUGCCAGCAGCCGCGGUAAUACAGAGGUCCCGAGCGUUGUUCGGAUUCACUGGGCGUAAAGGGUGCGUAGGUGGUGAAGUAAGUCGGAUGUGAAAGCUCCGGGCUCAACCCGGAAAUGGCAUUGGAAACUACUUUGCUUGAGGUUUGGAGGGGGGACUGGAAUUCUCGGUGUAGCAGUGAAAUGCGUAGAUAUCGAGAGGAACACCAGUGGCGAAGGCGGGUCCCUGGACAACACCUGACACUGAGGCACGAAAGCUAGGGGAGCAA